Long non-coding RNA from Centrocercus urophasianus (Greater sage-grouse), 3393 nucleotides. RefSeq lists it as uncharacterized. The record is from RefSeq and is a predicted model, not a curated record. The transcript is spliced from 3 exons. Lineage: Eukaryota; Metazoa; Chordata; Aves; Galliformes; Phasianidae.
CCUACGGAAGUGCAAUGGUUGGGUAUUCAGCAGCUGGCUGUGGAGCCUGAGAACCUCACUGGUGCCUAGAGGCUUGAUACAUACAGCCUCCCCAUAUGGGGUGUGCAAAACAAGGGUUUAAAAACGAUUGAAUUGUUAUUCAUUGCCACCAUCUCUGUGGUGUCAGGACUUACUGUGCACGAAAUGUUCUUUCAAAUUCUGGAGCUCCAGUGACAGCCGGGGGCAAGACCUUGUGCUUCAUUCUUGAUUUUCCCACCAGCCGAGCAAAACGACCUGUAAGCAAAAAUAAGGGCUUGUGGAUUGCACGGUUCUUCUCAUUUAGGAAGAACGGUUCAGUUGAGUCUCUAACACAUUUUUUUUUUAUUUUUUAAAGCAAUCAUUGUUCUUUGGCUUUUUUAAUCAGACGGCUACUAGCUAAAACUGUUUUUUUCCCUGCGGAAGUUCAGGUCACGCCUUCAGGCGUGGCUUAUUCUUGAGAAAGGGGAGAAAAUGGCAAAACUGCUGUUCCAGAAAUGUAUUUUUCCCCUUUCUGUAUUCACUGACACUAUUUAGGAACCGAAUAGCCGAGUCCUAGACCCGCACAGCCCAGGCCUACAGCAGCGGUGCUGCUGCAGCCCUACCUCAGCCCUACCACCACGUUGAGGUCAGGCAACACGGCGCUCAGCUGGACUCACAGCAGUUCAUCUGUGUUGGUUCGCCUGUACUGCAGCACAUGCUGGGAGUAAACCGAGCUGCAAUGUUUUACAUCAAAUGAACAGCUCAGCUUGGGCUGGAGUUAUCCUGACCCGCUGGUGAUUUUAACUGGGUUUAGCUAAUACGGAUUAACCACCACAAGGAAGAACGUAUGUAUUUCCUCUUCCCCCUUUCAAGGUCUGAACAAUUUGUGGAGUUUUCCAAAGGCACGAGGCUUCUGGUUAAUGUGCUUUGGUUUGGCUUUAACCCUUCACGCUCCUGUGUCAAGCACAACUACAGCGUAUCUCAAAGCAAAUCAUUACAAGCACUAAAAAUGCUCCCACAGUCACCAACGGAACCACAGCAAGCACAGCAGAAGGGAUGUCACAGACCGGCCCACCUCCUUGGUUCUCUGCACUGUGCCAGCAGCCGUGAAGCGCAUAUUUUAGAUAUUUAAGCUGGUGACCGAACAAGCCCAACUAGGUUCUAGCAAGCGUGGUCCUGGGAAGCUGUGGAACGUCACUGAAAAUGGAGGGGCAUACAUUGCGCUGGAAAGCUGAAGAUGACACACCUGUGUUCCGUCGAACAUAGAAAGAACUAAGUAGUGUUGCAGCUGAGUACACAGUUCUUAUCAGUAGCUGACUUUGAAAGGCGGGGUUGUCCAAAUGUGACUUGCUGCAGGAAUAGAUGCUCAGGAUGUUUCACGUGCGUGCUCGUUGCUCACGGCAUGCUAAUUCUGUCACAAGCAACUGCAAGCGCUCAGCAUCCCCGUCUGUUUCUCAGCCGAGGCAGAAUGACUUAUCAGAAAUCACUGUGGCAGAGAGAAGGGCUUAGAAGAUCAGGAUACACAUGUGCACACGUAUAUGUGAACCACGUCGUGUUCCCCUGUGUGACAUCAUGUUGCUUUUCUGCCACUCGCUGCCUUGCCCGCCGGCAGCUGUGAUUGUUCACACUGCAGGGUGGGAGGUCCCACCUGGCCCGUGCACGCGCUGUGCCUGGAGCAGUGGGGCUUCGCUGCGUGAACCAAACCAUCGGUGGGGUCUUGAGAGAAGAACUGCUGCUUGCGAGUCUGUUGGCGUGAUGCGGUCAGACAAUAUUCUGUCUCGCCCCAUGCAAUCUUUUCAGGGCUUAAUAGGUUUCUCUCUGUAGAUUACAUGCACCCUCAAGAAGGAGGAGUCUUUUUCUUUCUCCUUUACUUCCCUUAAACAUCUGUGCAGUGCCUGGUUUCUUUUUACAGCUGAUCCGUGCAGAGACAGGCCAAGGAGGAGCCUACCCAACGAUCUGCAAGACAGUGCUUGCACAGAACAGCUGAAAAAGCCAGCUGGGAAUCCAAGGGCGGAGUUUGUCGGGGCUGGAAGCAGAAGGCUCUUUAUUUGUAGUCACAUCUGACAACACCUUCAGAGGAGCAGCACAGUCCCCAGUUCUCAGUGGCUGCUCCCAGAAGCACAUAUGGUUCCCAGAACUGAUGACUGGUACCGUGAGUCAUGUUGCAGUGGGAAGCUACAGGUUAUCACUGCGCAUCCCGCAGAGAGAACAUCCCCAAAUUGGAAGCAGAUGGGAACCCGUCUUCUUGUAAACCGGUGCCAGAAAGUUUCUGGUUAGAGUCGUGCUUUGUUCGGCACACAAGCGCAGCAUCGUCUGUGUGCCUCCGCUCGGCCUCCUCCCGGCCUGACACAGCAACUUACCUAACUGAAAUCACAGCCUCUGAGCAGCCCGCUGCCAUGGCUGGAGGGAGCAGCGCUAAGCGAUACGGCCGCACCCAGCACGCAUCCAACAAGCUCCUUACAGUAAUGCCCCUGUUCCCCACAGCCCUCUCUGAAAUGAAGCACUUUCAGCCACUCGUCGUGGCUUCGAUAGCCCUCGGUCAGUGCUGCAGAUUCACCUUCACUUUCAGUUGAGUACAUCCAUAUUGACGAUAGCUUUGUAGGUACAAUAUGUACAAAUUUAAUCACAGAACGUUCUUGCGUUCACGAAGAACCAGACUCCUCCACUGAUGCCUUGCCCCUAUCUCUGCAGACACCCAGUAGCACGCUCACAGAUGCGAACCGCCACUUCCCCAUCCCCAGUCUCCCCAGCCAAAAACAGGGCUGCUGUUGGCCUCCAGAAGGACUCCAGCUGGAUUUCACUGCUCUCCUGCAAGGACUGUUAGACCGUUAGACUGUUCAGGCUUGCAAAUGGCCCCUCUCUGGGAAACCACACUGUGGGGAAAGUACCAAAUGCCAAACCCUACUCAGUGGAAUUACAUGAGAAUCCACUAUGUGGAGCCCGCCACUAAUGAUUUGGCCAACGAGAAAAGUGGAUUUGAAUGAGCUCCUCACCAAAAUUUCAGGUGCGUGUGCUUCCCCAUCGCCUUAAAGUUUGCAUCUCUCAGCAGCCGAGGCACGGGACAAUUUGCUGUGCAGCGACUCAGGUGCGUAAGUGCAUAGAGGAGUUUAGUGACAGAGCUGGCACUGUUGUGACAGAAAGUCAUAUCCCUUCCCUCUCCUUGGGAGCGAAUUCUCCACCAGAUUUCCGCAGUGCAGCUUCAUCCUGCGGUUCCGUUUGCCUCAGUCCUUACUUUGCUUCCAUCUGGCCUAAGUUCUUGCAGCCCGUCAAAGAGCGCAAGAUUCCCAGUCUAAACAAGGGAACUAAGCGUAGCUUUGCUGUUGUUGCUGAUAGCGUGCUGCGUUUUGGGUACUGCGUUCUGGCAGGUGCAGAAUCUCCUUCCAGCAUUAGAUCAGG